Molecule: ribosomal RNA, 128 nt
Organism: Erinaceus europaeus (western European hedgehog)
Lineage: Eukaryota; Metazoa; Chordata; Mammalia; Eulipotyphla; Erinaceidae
Source: Ensembl
GUCUACGGUCAUACCACCCUGAACACGCCCGAUCUCAUCUGAUCUCAGAAGCUAAGCAGGGUUGGGCCUGGUUAGUACUUAGAUGGGAGACAAAAGAAGUAAUAGCAGCACACAGGUUCUGAUGGACC